AGAGAGAGAGUUCGAGCAGGGGAGAGGCAGAGAGAGAGGCAGACACAGAAUCCCAAGCAGGCUCCAGACUCUGAACUGUCACCACAGAGCUUGAUGCAGGGCUCAAACUCAUGAACUGUGAGAUCAUGACCUGAGCCAAAAUCCAACGUUUAACCAACUGAGCCACCCAGAUGCCCUGAGACAUUGCCAUUCUUAAAGUUCACUUAAAAUUCAAGGAAUGGGUGGCUCAGUUGGUUAAGUGCCCAACUCUUGAUUUUGGCUCAGGUCAUGAUCUCACGGUUUUGAGACUGAGUCCCAUGUAAAACUCCAUGUUAAGCAUGGAGCUUGCUUGGUGAUCUCCUCUCCUCUCCUUCUCCUCUCCCUCUCCCCUACCUUUCCCCUUCCUCUCCCCUCCCCUGCUCAUGUAUGGACUCUCUCUCAAAAUAAAUUAAAAAAAAAAAAAGAAAUAGGGUCUUUGCUGAUGAUUAAAGUGAGGUUUUAAGGUUUUUAGGGUGGAUCCUAAUCCAAUAUGCCAAGUAUCUUCAUAAAAAGGGAAAAUUUGUACAUGGACAUGUACAAGGGGAAGACUGCAGGAAGACACAAGGAGAACACCAUCUACAAGCCAAGCAAUUCUGGAAGCCACCAGAAGGUAAGAGAGAAGCAUGGAAGAUUCUUCCUCAGAACCCUCAGAGGGAACCCAUCCUGUUGACUUCUUGAUUUUGUACUUUUGGCCUUCAGAAUUGUGAGACAAUACAUUUCUGUUGUUUAAACCAUCAAGUUUGUAAUAUUUGUUAGAGCUACCUCAGGAAACUAUACGGACAUCAUGAAUAUAAAUCUGUCAUAAUAUGCUGUCAGGCAGACAAGUUCAAAGAAAUUAUCAAUUAAAAAAAUGUACUAGUGCUCUCCAUACCUACUAGCCUGAAAAAAGAAAAGUUUUGUACAACUAGAAUUGUUAUGUAGUUUUCUGGCACCUGUCUAAAUUGAGAGAGUAAUACCAGUCUAAUCAGGAAUAGUAAGAAAAACACAUUUUCUAUGAAGAACUACAUCGUUCCCAGACCCUAACAUAUAAGUGAUAACAGUGAAUGUCAUGUCUAGUAAUAAAAAGUGCUGAAAUAACAAUAUAUUGCUAAAAUGAGCUUAUUAUAUAUUUUAUUGUGCCCAAAAGCAAAAUGAAAUUUUAUGAAGAGAACCAUAUUGGCUGUUUCAAUUUACCAAGAUACUUAAAUAUAUACUCUUAAAUUUAAAAGGUAUAUCAUUAACACUAGAAAAAACUUGGGGGAAAAAAUCCCAUCAUCUCUAAUAAUCAUUUUCAUAGGUUAUCAUCAGACUACAUAUAAUAUGCAUUUUUCCAUGCUUAACCAUACAUUUUCCAUGGUUAAGGCACAGUCUAGAUUAGGUAAAUCAUAAUAUAUGCAACUGUUCUUUUUUAACUGAUCAUUUUGGUUGCUUUUGAUCUUCUAAUAUUAUUAACAUUAUUGUGUUGAAUAUCUGCAUUUAUUUUUUUCAUAUUUUAAAUUAUUUCCUUAAGUACAGAUUGCUGGAAGUAAAAAACUACAGUAAGUAUUUUUUUUUAACGUUUAUUUAUUUUUGAGACAGAGAGAGACAGAGCAUGAACAGGGGAGGGGCAGAGAGAGAGGGAGACACAGAAUCUGAAAAAGGCUCCAGGCUCUGAGCGGUCAGCACAGAGCCCGACACGGGGCUCGAACUCACGGACCGUGAGAUCAUGACCUGAGCUGAAGUAGGACGCUUAACCGAUCGAGCCACCCAGGCGCCCCAAAAACUACAGACUCCUUACUUUAUAAAAUGCACAUGUAUUCUGGAGACUGGCUGUACAACAAUGUGAAUACCCUGGACACUAUUGAACUGUACACCUAAAAAUGACUAAGAUGAGAGAGCGCCUGUGCAUGUAUGCUUGAGGGAGGGGCAGAGAGAAUCUUAAGCAGGCCUCAUGCUCAGUGUGGAACCUGAUGUGGGACUUGAUCUCCUGACCCCACAGAUCAUGACCUGAGCUGAAAUCAAGAGUCAGACGCUCAAAUGAUUGAGCAACCCAGGUGACCCUAUCUUCUGCCAAUUUUAAUGUAAGAGUAUGUGAAUGAGGAAUUCCUUAUAACACUGGGAACUGCUUAGCCCAUCGGUGUCCUAACUACUUUCAGUUCACUUAUAUAAUUAAUAUGUGACGGAAAAUCCUAGUCAUGCCUACAAAAUGUAAUUUAGAAAAUACAUUGUAAAAUAUAAUUCAUUUACUGCCUCUGUGUAAGUAAAAUCUUACAAAAUAAUUUAGCAAAUAAAUGCUGUAUCUAUUAAGAAAACAUUCAGUGCUUUUCCACAAAAUAUUCCAUAAAAUAUUAUAAUCAACAUUGAUAAAGUCUCAAAUUCAUCAAUUUGAGGUGAAAGUGGGUGGAAAGUGGGAACUAAGGCAAAGGUUCUCCAUCUGUGGUCCACAGACAGGCUAUAUAUAUGUAUGUUCACAAGCACCCUGAAACUAUCUGCAAGAUCUUGUGUGUUUAUCUUUUCUGGGAAGAGGAUCCAUAGAUUUCCUGAAUUUUUAAGAGGUCUGAGGCCCAAGGAAGGAUAAGGAUUUUGUCUGGACCUCUAGUCUAGAAUAUACAAAAUGUUUUGUUUUUUUGUUUUUUUGUUUUUGUUUUUAGAUCUCUAUGUUUUAAAGUAUGACCACACUGAUUGGAGUGUUUCAACGUUGAAUGUCUUUCUUACAAAAACCACAUCUAUAAUGUAUCAUCUAUAACUAUUUCCACUUCUGGCUUCAUAAAUGUGGUUCAAGCAUUCAAAGGCACUUGGCAAGCAAUCCAAAUACAGAAUUCUCUAAAUCGUUAUAGUAUUCCCUCUAUUCUUUUAGAGUUGCUUGUCCAAAUGUAUUUCAACAGCAAAUUCUCCAAAGUAUACAAUUCAGUUUUGAAAGAAAUAAUAACUUUUUCUGUAGUCACGUAUCACUGUUUUAUUAUGUAUUUCUAAUACAAGUACAACUGGCAUAACCUGGUUUGGGAGCAAACAUAGGGACACUUGUAAAGCAAGUGACAGAUAACAACACGAGAGUGAAGUCAAUUAAAGCAAGGGCAUGGAGAAUGCUUUGGACACUGGUCAGAAUUCUUUGCACAGAAAUUUAGUUCACAGGUUAAUGUUGUUAUAAGAUUAAGUGGACAUCAGCCAAGAGAGUUUGCUACUGUACCUUAACUUUACUACAGUACUUUAUUAUUACUUUAAGCUUGCAAAGUAGUUAUUAUUCUCAUCUUCUAAGUAAAGGAAUUAAGACUCAAAUGAUUUAAUGUUCCUAAGGUCAUGCAGUGACAAUGAAAACACGGGGUUCACACUCAGUCUUUAAUCAAAAUCUUCUCUCAAUUAAGUCACACUGCCUCAUAUCUUAAGCCCAAUCAAUUACAAAAGAUAUUAGUAAAGCAUAUCUGUGGCAUCAUAUAGUAUCAAAACCUAAAAGGCAAAAUGAAGAUUCUGUAAAAAAAAUUUAAUCCUAAGUAUGUGGCAAAAUGGUUAGUAAUUACAAAGAUUGUGAUCUCAACUUUUUGUAUGGCUUCAAAAGACCUGACUACUAAAAAAGGAAAUUCAUCAUACGGUUUCAAAUCUCAUUCAGUUAACUAAAAAUACCACAAGUUAAAGCAGACAGGCCAGCUUUAGAUAUAGUAGAGCACUCUUGGUCAUACUCCCAAGUUCUUUCCUUCCCUAUCUGCACAAUCCCCCUAAGUGAUCUCAUCUAUUCUAUGACCAUAAAGGAAUGUUAAUGAGCACCUCAUAUGUAACCUGUCCAAAAUGGAAACUACCUCUUAUCUAUACCAUCCCAAGUUUUCUCCUUCCCAGUAAAAGGCCUCACCGUCUACUGAGAUGUUCAAGUCUACGCUAAGACAUCAUCUUUGACUCCUCCUUUUCCUCAUUACCUAUAUUUGACUUAACAAAUAAGUUUUGUCCUACCUUCCUAAUAGAUUUUAUAACUGUCCACUUCUCUCCAUUUCCAUUUGACAACACUCUGCUCUAAGCUACUAUUAUCUAUUGCCUGGAAUUCUGUAAUAAUCUAGUAUCUUGUCUCCCUGACUCAAUUUUUGCCACGUCUGUAUUUUCUACACAAUAGCUAAAGUGUUCUUUCAAAGAUCUAAGGAUGUUUAAAAUUCUCCAAUGAUUUCCCACUCCUGUAUUUCUUUUAACUUAAAAUAGUCUUAAAUAUUUUACUUAAAGUAAGAAUAUUUUACUUAAAACGCCCUACAAGAUUCUCAUGAUCUAAUCCAUGCCUUGGUUCCUCAAUGUUAUAGCUUCUCUUUUUCUUGACCAUACUUUAUUUACAUGGUCAACUCCUCUUAAUUCUAGAGCUUUGUACUUCCUAUUCUUCCCUCUGCCUGGAAUAUUUUCCUGGCUUUUUUGUAUAGUUGGUUUAUUUCUACAAUUCAGGCCUUGGUUUAAAACGCCAGCUUUUCCGACCACUUUUUAAAAAAUUGUGCAGUCCUUUCAGGUCCCGCCUCGUCCCAGUUACUGUCUAUCAUAUUGACCUGUUUUCUUCAUACCACUUAAAACAUCUAAAAUUAUCUUAUUUGUUGGCUUACCUCUUGACUAUUUGUCUCUUCUCAUUAAAAUGAAAGCUCUAAAAGAGGAACUAUAUUCACAAGGCUUAGAUUAAUGCCUUGAACAUACAGGGUGAUUUUUAGCCUAGGCAAAUUUUAGGUAACCCCACAGAAUCAGUUAACCAGUACAUUCAAUGAUAACAUUUCUAAUACACUGUAUUUUGCCUUUU
Molecule: long non-coding RNA, 4726 nt
Organism: Acinonyx jubatus (cheetah)
Lineage: Eukaryota; Metazoa; Chordata; Mammalia; Carnivora; Felidae
Exons: 3
Source: RefSeq, a predicted model, not a curated record